Molecule: ribosomal RNA, 253 nt
Filed under: uncultured bacterium
Lineage: Bacteria
Description: partial 16S ribosomal RNA
Rfam family: Bacterial small subunit ribosomal RNA
Source: RNAcentral
UACGUAGGGCGCAAGCGUUAUCCGGAAUUAUUGGGCGUAAAGAGCUCGUAGGCGGCUUGUCACGUCGGAUGUGAAAUCCCGAGGCUCAACCUCGGGCCUGCAUUCGAUACGGGCUAGCUAGAGUACUGCAGGGGAGACUGGAAUUCCUGGUGUAGCGGUGAAAUGCGCAGAUAUCAGGAGGAACACCGGUGGCGAAGGCGGGUCUCUGGGCAGUAUCUGACGCUGAGGAGCGAAAGCGUGGGGAGCAAACAGG